This 305-nucleotide ribosomal RNA is filed under the name uncultured bacterium. RNAcentral's name for it is "bacterial SSU rRNA". It matches the Rfam family "Bacterial small subunit ribosomal RNA", at positions 337 to 639 of the family's 1533-position model. The record is from RNAcentral.
UCCUACGGGACGCAGCAGUGAGGAAUAUUGGUCAAUGGGCGGGAGCCUGAACCAGCCAAGUCGCGUGAGGGAAGACGGUCCUAUGGAUUGUAAACCUCUUUUGUCAGGGAGCAACGCCGGCUACGUGUAGCCGGACUGAGAGUACCCGGAGAAAGAGCAUCGGCUAACUCCGUGCCAGCAGCCGCGGUAAUACGGAGGAUGCGAGCGUUAUCCGGAUUUAUUGGGUUUAAAGGGUGCGCAGGCGGCGAGUUAAGUCAGCGGUAAAAUUUCGGGGCUCAACCCCGACGAGCCGUUGAAACUGGCUU